CAGGGCGUAAUUUAAAUAGAAUGCUGGCUUUGGGGGUCAGUAGUGAAGGUUAAAACCCUUUUGCCCUGA
Molecule: transfer RNA, 69 nt
Filed under: Odorrana wuchuanensis (Wuchuan odorous frog)
Lineage: Eukaryota; Metazoa; Chordata; Amphibia; Anura; Ranidae
Description: tRNA-Pro
Rfam family: tRNA
About the family: Transfer RNA (tRNA) molecules are approximately 80 nucleotides in length. Their secondary structure includes four short double-helical elements and three loops (D, anti-codon, and T loops). Further hydrogen bonds mediate the characteristic L-shaped molecular structure. tRNAs have two regions of fundamental functional importance: the anti-codon, which is responsible for specific mRNA codon recognition, and the 3' end, to which the tRNAs corresponding amino acid is attached (by aminoacyl-tRNA synthetases). tRNAs cope with the degeneracy of the genetic code in two manners: having more than one tRNA (with a specific anti-codon) for a particular amino acid; and 'wobble' base-pairing, i.e. permitting non-standard base-pairing at the 3rd anti-codon position.
Source: RNAcentral